GGAGGUGACUGGUGCCUGGUGGUGCCCCUGGUCUUCAAAACCAGUGUGGGGCCUGAAAGGGUCCUAGGUGGGUUCGAUUCCCAUUCACCUCCGCCA
This 96-nucleotide transfer RNA is filed under the name Planctomycetes bacterium RBG_13_63_9. RNAcentral describes it as "tRNA-Sec". It matches the Rfam family "Selenocysteine transfer RNA". Lineage: Bacteria; Pseudomonadati; Planctomycetota. The record is from RNAcentral.